This 253-nucleotide ribosomal RNA is filed under the name uncultured bacterium. Its description in RNAcentral is "partial 16S ribosomal RNA". It matches the Rfam family "Bacterial small subunit ribosomal RNA", at positions 524 to 776 of the family's 1533-position model. The record is from RNAcentral.
UACGUAGGUGGCAAGCGUUGUCCGGAUUUACUGGGCGUAAAGAGCGCGCAGGCGGUCGGAUAAGUCGAAUGUGAAAGCCCCCGGCUCAACUGGGGAGGGUCAUUCGAUACUGUUCGACUCGAAGGCAGGAGAGGGAAGUGGAAUUCCAGGUGUAGCGGUGAAAUGCGUAGAUAUCUGGAGGAACACCGGUGGCGAAGGCGGCAUCCUGGACCGACACUGACGCUGAGGAGCGAAAGCCAGGGGAGCAAACGGG